GCCAGCAUAGCUCAGUGGUAGAGCAACCCACUCGUAAUGGGUAGGUCGUCGGUUCAAAUCCGAUUGCUGGCU
RNAcentral lists this transfer RNA (72 nucleotides) under Halothece sp. Uz-M2-17. Its description in RNAcentral is "tRNA-Thr". It matches the Rfam family "tRNA". From Rfam's summary of the family: Transfer RNA (tRNA) molecules are approximately 80 nucleotides in length. Their secondary structure includes four short double-helical elements and three loops (D, anti-codon, and T loops). Further hydrogen bonds mediate the characteristic L-shaped molecular structure. tRNAs have two regions of fundamental functional importance: the anti-codon, which is responsible for specific mRNA codon recognition, and the 3' end, to which the tRNAs corresponding amino acid is attached (by aminoacyl-tRNA synthetases). tRNAs cope with the degeneracy of the genetic code in two manners: having more than one tRNA (with a specific anti-codon) for a particular amino acid; and 'wobble' base-pairing, i.e. permitting non-standard base-pairing at the 3rd anti-codon position. The record is from RNAcentral. Lineage: Bacteria; Bacillati; Cyanobacteriota; Cyanophyceae; Chroococcales; Halothecacae.